RNAcentral lists this ribosomal RNA (888 nucleotides) under uncultured Candidatus Cenarchaeaceae thaumarchaeote. RNAcentral describes it as "bacterial SSU rRNA". It matches the Rfam family "Archaeal small subunit ribosomal RNA", at positions 8 to 903 of the family's 1478-position model. Lineage: Archaea; Thermoproteati; Nitrososphaerota; Candidatus Cenarchaeales; Candidatus Cenarchaeaceae. The record is from RNAcentral.
UUGAUCCUGCCGGACCUGACUGCUAUCGGAUUGAUACUAAGCCAUGCGAGUCGUUGCAGCAAUGCAAGGCAAACGGCUCAGUAACACGUAGUCAACCUAACCUGUAGACGGGGAUAACCUCGGGAAACUGAGAAUAAUACCCGAUAGGCCACGGUGCCUGGAAUGGCCCGCGGCUCAAAUGAUUUAUCGCUGCAGGAUGGGACUGCGGCCUAUCAGCUUGUUGGUGAGGUAAUGGCCCACCAAGGCGAUAACAGGUACGGGCUCUGAGAGGAGAGGCCCGGAGAUGGGUACUGAGACACGGACCCAGGCCCUAUGGGGCGCAGCAGGCGAGAAAACUUUGCAAUGUGCGAAAGCACGACAAGGUUAACCCGAGUGGUUCCUGCUUAGGGAACCUUUUGUCAGUCCUAAAAGCACUGACGAAUAAGGGGUGGGCAAGUUCUGGUGUCAGCCGCCGCGGUAAAACCAGCACCUCAAGUGGUCAGGAGGAUUAUUGGGCCUAAAGCAUCCGUAGCCGGCCGUGUAAGUUUUCGGUUAAAUCCACGCGCUCAACGCGUGGGCCGCCGGGAAUACUGCACGGCUAGGGAGUGGGAGAGGUAGACGGUACUCCGUAGGAAGGGGUAAAAUCCUGUGAUCUAUGGAUGACCACCUGUGGCGAAGGCGGUCUACUAGAACAUGUCCGACGGUGAGGGAUGAAAGCUGGGGGAGCAAACUGGAUUAGAUACCCGGGUAGUCCCAGCUGUAAACUAUGCAAACUCGGUGAUGCACUGACCUUUGUCAGUGCAGUGUCGCAGGGAAGCCGUUAAGUUUGCCGCCUGGGAAGUACGUACGCAAGUAUGAAACUUAAAGGAAUUGGCGGGGGAGCACCACAAGGGGUGAAGCCUGCGGUUC